CAGCCGCCACGGUAAUACGUAGGGUGCAAGCGUUAAUCGGAAUUACUGGGCGUAAAGCGUGCGCAGGCGGUUUGUUAAGACAGAUGUGAAAUCCCCGGGCUCAACCUGGGAACUGCAUUUGUGACUGGCAAGCUAGAGUGUGGCAGAGGGGGGUGGAAUUCCGCGUGUAGCAGUGAAAUGCGUAGAUAUGCGGAGGAACACCGAUGGCGAAGGCAGCCCCCUGGGCCAACACUGACGCUCAUGCACGAAAGCGUGGGGAGCAAACAGGAUUAGAGACCCGCGUAGUCCCUGUCUCUUAUAC
RNAcentral lists this ribosomal RNA (301 nucleotides) under uncultured bacterium. Its description in RNAcentral is "partial 16S ribosomal RNA". It matches the Rfam family "Bacterial small subunit ribosomal RNA", at positions 509 to 807 of the family's 1533-position model. The record is from RNAcentral.